RNAcentral lists this ribosomal RNA (431 nucleotides) under uncultured bacterium. RNAcentral's name for it is "partial 16S ribosomal RNA". It matches the Rfam family "Bacterial small subunit ribosomal RNA", at positions 29 to 507 of the family's 1533-position model. The record is from RNAcentral.
AACGAACGCUGGCGGCAGGCCUAACACAUGCGAGUCGAGCGCCCUUUCGGGGGAGCGGCGGACGGGUGAGUACCGCGUGGGAAUAUGCCCUUCUCUACGGAAUAGCCUCGGGAAACUGAGAGUAAUACCGUAUACGCCCUAUGGGGGAAAGAUUUAUCGGGGAAGGAUUAGCCCGCGUUGGAUUAGGUAGUUGGUGGGGUAAUGGCCUACCAAGCCGACGAUCCAUAGCUGGUUUGAGAGGAUGAUCAGCCACACUGGGACUGAGACACGGCCCAGACUCCUACGGGAGGCAGCAGUGGGGAAUCUUAGACAAUGGGGGCAACCCUGAUCUAGCCAUGCCGCGUGAGUGAUGAAGGCCUUAGGGUUGUAAAGCUCUUUCAGCUGGGAAGAUAAUGACGGUACCAGCAGAAGAAGCCCCGGCUAACUCCGUG